RNAcentral lists this ribosomal RNA (406 nucleotides) under uncultured bacterium. RNAcentral's name for it is "partial 16S ribosomal RNA". It matches the Rfam family "Bacterial small subunit ribosomal RNA", at positions 30 to 526 of the family's 1533-position model. The record is from RNAcentral.
AUUGAACGCUGGCGGCAGGCCUAACACAUGCAAGUCGAACGAGUGGCGGACGGGUGAGUAAUGUCUUGGAAACUGCCUGCUGGAGGGGGAUAACUACUGGAAACGGUAGCUAAUACCGCAUACCAUCGGAUGUGCCCCGAUGGGAUUAGCUAGUAGUUGGGGUAAAGGCUCACCUAGGCGACGAUCCCUAGCUGGUCUGAGAGGAUGACAAGCCACACUGGAACUGAGAGACGGUCCAGACUCCUAAGGGAGGCACCAGUGGGGAAUAGUGCACAAGGGGCGGAAGGCGGAUGCAGCAAGGCCGCGUGUAUGAAGAAGGCCUUCGGGUUGUAAAGUACUUUCAGCGGGGAGGCGUUACCCGCAGAAGAAGCACCGGCUAACUCCGUGCCAGCAGCCGCGGUAAUAC